AGGAUUCCCCUAGUAACUGCGAGUGAAGCGGGAAAAGCUCAAAUUUAAAAUCUGGUAGUCUUUGGCUGCCCGAGUUGUAAUCUAGAGAAGCAUUAUCUGCACUGGACUGUGUAUAAGUAUCCUGGAAUGGAUCAUCAUAGAGGGUGAGAAUCCCGUCUUUGACACAGACUCCCUUUGCCUUGUGAUGUGCUCUCAAAGAGUCGAGUUGUUUGGGAAUGCAGCUCUAAAUGGGUGGUAAAUUCCAUCUAAAGCUAAAUAUUGGCGAGAGACCGAUAGCGAACAAGUACCGUGAGGGAAAGAUGAAAAGAACUUUGGAAAGAGAGUUAAACAGUACGUGAAAUUGCUGAAAGGGAAACGCUUGAAGUCAGUCGCGUUGGCUGGGGAUCAACCUUGCUUUUUGCUUGGCUUACUUCCCAGUUGACGGGUCAGCAUCAGUUUUGACCGGUGGAUAAAGGCUAGGGGAAUGUGGCACCUCCGGGUGUGUUAUAGCCCUUGGUCAC
Molecule: ribosomal RNA, 500 nt
Filed under: Termitomyces sp. DKA-2007
Lineage: Eukaryota; Fungi; Basidiomycota; Agaricomycetes; Agaricales; Lyophyllaceae
Description: eukaryotic LSU rRNA
Rfam family: Eukaryotic large subunit ribosomal RNA
Source: RNAcentral